UACGAAGGUGGCAAGCGUUACUCGGAAUUACUAGGCGUAAAGGGCAGGUAGGUGGUUUGAUAAGUCUGUUGUGAAAGCUCCUGGCUUAACUGGGAGAGGUCAACAGAAACUAUCAGGCUUGAGUAUGGGAGAGGGUACUGGAAUUCCCGGUGUAGCGGUGAAAUGCGCAGAGAUCGGGAGGAACACCUAUGGCGAAAGCAGGUACCUGGACCAUUACUGACACUCAGCUGCGAAAGCUAGGGGAGCAAACAGG
This 253-nucleotide ribosomal RNA is filed under the name uncultured bacterium. Its description in RNAcentral is "partial 16S ribosomal RNA". It matches the Rfam family "Bacterial small subunit ribosomal RNA", at positions 524 to 776 of the family's 1533-position model. The record is from RNAcentral.